RNAcentral lists this ribosomal RNA (200 nucleotides) under uncultured bacterium. RNAcentral's name for it is "partial 16S ribosomal RNA". It matches the Rfam family "Bacterial small subunit ribosomal RNA", at positions 29 to 256 of the family's 1533-position model. The record is from RNAcentral.
AACGAACGCUGGCGGCAUGCCUAACACAUGCAAGUCGAACGAGACCUUCGGUCGUAGUGGCGCACGGGUGCGUAACGCGUGGGAACCUGCCUUUAGGUUCGGAAUAACUCUCCGAAAGGGGUGCUAAUACCGAAUAAUGUCUUCGGACCAAAGAUUUAUCGCCUUUAGAUGGGCCCGCGUUGGAUUAGCUAGUUGGUGGG